GGGUUGUGAGGUUAAGCGACUAAGCGUACACGGUGGAUGCCCUGGCAGUCAGAGGCGAUGAAGGACGUGCUAAUCUGCGAAAAGCGUCGGUAAGGUGAUAUGAACCGUUACAGCCGGCGAUGUCCGAAUGGGGAAACCCAGUGUGAUUCGUCACACUAUCGUUAACUGAAUACAUAGGUUAACGAGGCGAACCGGGGGAACUGAAACAUCUAAGUACCCCGAGGAAAAGAAAUCAACCGAGAUUCCCCCAGUAGCGGCGAGCGAACGGGGAGCAGCCCAGAGUCUGAAUCAGCUUGUGUGUUAGUGGAACGGUCUGGAAAGUCCGACGGUACAGGGUGAUAGUCCCGUACACCAAAAUGCACAGGCUGUGAACUCGAAGAGUAGGGCGGGACACGUGGUAUCCUGUCUGAAUAUGGGGGGACCAUCCUCCAAGGCUAAAUACUCCUGACUGACCGAUAGUGAACCAGUACCGUGAGGGAAAGGCGAAAAGAACCCCGGCGAGGGGAGUGAAAAAGAACCUGAAACCGUGUACGUACAAGCAGUGGGAGCACCUUCGGGUGUGACUGCGUACCUUUUGUAUAAUGGGUCAGCGACUUAUAUUCUGUAGCAAGGUUAACCGUAUAGGGGAGCCGCAGGGAAACCGAGUCUUAACUGGGCGUUAAGUUGCAGGGUAUAGACCCGAAACCCGGUGAUCUAGCCAUGGGCAGGUUGAAGGUUGGGUAACACUAACUGGAGGACCGAACCGACUAAUGUUGAAAAAUUAGCGGAUGACUUGUGGCUGGGGGUGAAAGGCCAAUCAAACCGGGAGAUAGCUGGUUCUCCCCGAAAGCUAUUUAGGUAGCGCCUCGUGAA
Molecule: ribosomal RNA, 852 nt
Filed under: Klebsiella aerogenes
Lineage: Bacteria; Pseudomonadati; Pseudomonadota; Gammaproteobacteria; Enterobacterales; Enterobacteriaceae
Description: partial 23S ribosomal RNA
Rfam family: Bacterial large subunit ribosomal RNA
Source: RNAcentral